This is a long non-coding RNA of Gasterosteus aculeatus aculeatus (three-spined stickleback), 794 nucleotides long. NCBI's taxonomy places the organism in Eukaryota, Metazoa, Chordata, Actinopteri, Perciformes, Gasterosteidae. The record is from Ensembl.
ACACAGACACACUAUCAUUUGGUUCUAAACAAUGACACACACUAAUAUUUAGAUGUACACAAAGACACAAUAAACGAUUAGAUGUACACACAGACACACUAACAAUGAGAUCUACACACAGACACACUAUCAUUUGGUUCUAAACAAUGACACACACUAAUAUUUAGAUGUACACAAAGACAAUAACAAUUAGAUGUACACACAGACACACUAACAAUUAGAUGUACACACAGACACACUAACAUUUGGUUCUAAACACAGACACACACUAAUAUUUAGAUGUACUCAAAGACAACAAUUAGAUGUACACACAGACACACUAACAAUUAGAUCCACACACAGACACACUAACAAUUAGAUGUACACACAGACACACUAACAUUUGGUUCUAAACAAAGACACACACUAACAUUUAGAUGUACACACAGACACACUAUCAUUUUGUUCUAAACAAAGACACACACUAAUAUUUAGAUGUACACAAAGACAUAUUAAUAUUUAGAUGUACACACAGACACACUAACAAUUAGAUGUACACACAGACACACUAUCAUUUGGUUCUAAACAAAGACACACACUAAUAUUUAGAUGUACACAAAGACACAAUAACAAUUAGAUAUACACACAGACACACUAUCAUUUGGUUCUAAACAAAGACACACACUAACAAUUACAUGUACACACAGACACACUAACAUUUGAUGUACACACAGACACACUAACAAUUAGAUGUACACACAGACACACUAACAUUAACAUGUUAAUAACUUUUCUUCUUUUCUCUCUUCUCAGGA